UAUCCCGUCUAUCACACAACGACAUUACUACAACAAAUCCAAUUGACAACAGAGACAUUCUUCAAAGGACCAAGGACUCCUUUGGUCAACACCGCCUUCCAUCUAGCACCAAUCUACCGAAGCCCAGCUCAGAACUACCAUACUAGACCAGUGCUUCUCUACUGAUGCUCUCUGCCCCUGAAAUCUGCUCUGGUGUCCGGACAACAGAUCGGCAUGCCAUGUUAACUAGGCAA
Long non-coding RNA from Oncorhynchus tshawytscha (Chinook salmon), 233 nucleotides. RefSeq lists it as uncharacterized. Lineage: Eukaryota; Metazoa; Chordata; Actinopteri; Salmoniformes; Salmonidae. The transcript has 2 exons. The record is from RefSeq and is a predicted model, not a curated record.